RNAcentral lists this long non-coding RNA (1276 nucleotides) under Salmo salar (Atlantic salmon). RNAcentral describes it as "lncRNA (ENSSSAG00000089105.1)". Lineage: Eukaryota; Metazoa; Chordata; Actinopteri; Salmoniformes; Salmonidae. The record is from RNAcentral.
CUAGCUAGUUAUAUGUAACGUUACACUGUAUCCUGCAGGGAAGAGCGUGUUCCACGACGUGCAGAAAGGAUUGUGGAAAGUUGACUGAUGAGCGCAAGCUGCAUCUGUUCAACAGUUUCUACACUGUCCCAUACGAGAAACAACAAGCGUUGAUUCUCUCCGGCUUAGAACAGGGACAUUUUCAAACAGCAGUCUCUCAAUUUCGGCCAACUCAGGAGUGACACCUGUGGCAAAUGUGACGCAUUCUUCACUAAGAUGUCAGCAGCAACAUCUGAAGAGGAGAAGAGGAAGAUUGCAGUUGAAAGUGAGUUGCACCAUCGAAAAGCCGAAAAGGCCUACACACAGCUUCAAAGUGACACUGAGUGGGCUAAAGCCAAUGCUGACUGCCAUGUCAUUUCUGUGGAUCUACAGGGGGUGAUGUACACCCCUAAUCUGACCCACUCCAAUGUCUACUACCAGCGGCAGCUGUCAAAUGUUAACCUUUGCAUCCAGGAACUUGGAAAAGAAGAUCCUGCAUACAUGUGUGUUUGGCAUGAGGGGAUUGCACACCGAGGGUCCAUUGAGGUAGCAAGCUGCAUAUUGAAGUGGGUGAAGACAAAAUUCACACCACUCACCAAACCAGAGGUGCGCAAGUUGAUCAUCUUCAGUGACAGAUGCUGUGGGCAGAAUAACAACUGGCGGAUGCUCAAUCUGAUGUCGAUGCUCGUCUCUAUGGGUUACUUUACCCAAGUUGAGCAGAAGUUCAUGGUCUCUGGUUAUUCUUUUCUUCCUUGUGAUCGAUCUUUUGCCACCAUCGAGAACAGCUGCAAGGAGUCAGACCUUCAUACACCUGAUGAUGUUUCAAAGAUGAUACUUGAAGCACAACCAGCAAAACCAUUCAAGGUGAUAAGGAUGCAAUGUGAAGACUUCAGGCACCUUCCAGAUUCUGUCCUCAAGCGACCAGCUGGACUACAGAUCACCUCAGUGAGGUGGUUAAAAGUCACAGGUAUUGCACAGAGAAUAGUUUACUAACAUCCCAUUAACAUGCAAUAUGUUGUUCUAACAAUAAAAUAUCCUAAUGAUUCCCUUUUUUUAUUCAUUACAAUAUACAGUACAUCUCUCUGUCACCACAUUUAGCAUUAACUCUAAGUAGUUAAUACUUAUUUACUGCUGUCACCUCAGUACAGAAGGACAUUUCUUGCCUUUAGCAUGGGUUUAACGCAAUUCAAAAGUUAAUUGCUGAUCAUAGUGUUAAACGCAAAGAGAAUGGUUUUCUGAACGUUUUGUGAUAUUGACC